GACGAACGCUGGCGGCGUGCUUAAUACAUGCAAGUCGAACGGAAAGGCCCUGCUCUUGUGGGGUGCUCGUGUGGCGAACGGGUGAGUAACACGCGAGUAUCCCCUCCUUGACUUUGGGAUAACUCCUGGAAAAUCGGGCUCUUAUCGGAUAGGAGCUCCUGCUGCACGGGGGGGGUUGGUAAGUUUCGGCGGUGGGGGCUGGUCUCGCGGCUUAUCCGCUUGUUGGUCGGGUAGUGGCUGACCAAGGCUUCGACGGGUAGCCGGCCUUGGAGAGGGGCCGGCCACAUUGGGACUGAGGUACGGCCCAGACUCCUACGGGAGGCAGCAGUGGGGAGUAUUGCAGAAUGGGCGGGAGCCUGAUGCAGCAACGCCGCGUGCGGGAUGACGGGCUUCGGGUUAUAAACCGCUGUGGACUGUGACGAAGCGGGAGUGACGGUAACGGGUAAAGAAGCACCGGCUAACUACGUG
Molecule: ribosomal RNA, 468 nt
Filed under: uncultured bacterium
Lineage: Bacteria
Description: partial 16S ribosomal RNA
Rfam family: Bacterial small subunit ribosomal RNA
Source: RNAcentral